GCGCAAGUGGCGGAAAGGGGAGAUGCGGCAGGCUCAAACCCUGUUACUGCGAACGUGUGCGAGUUCAAAUCUCGCCUUGCGCACCA
Molecule: transfer RNA, 86 nt
Filed under: Clostridia bacterium
Lineage: Bacteria; Bacillati; Bacillota; Clostridia
Also listed under: 1 other name
Description: tRNA-Leu
Rfam family: tRNA
About the family: Transfer RNA (tRNA) molecules are approximately 80 nucleotides in length. Their secondary structure includes four short double-helical elements and three loops (D, anti-codon, and T loops).
Source: RNAcentral